Long non-coding RNA from Dromaius novaehollandiae (emu), 370 nucleotides. RefSeq lists it as uncharacterized. The transcript has 3 exons. Lineage: Eukaryota; Metazoa; Chordata; Aves; Casuariiformes; Dromaiidae. The record is from RefSeq and is a predicted model, not a curated record.
UGCAGAUUGCCAUUACUUGAAUGAUGAGUGGCUGAUCAGUUUAGGGCUCUGUCAUCCUCAAUGGUUCACUCUUUACCAUUGCCAUGAUGAAACACAGCAGCUUACUGAUACGGGAUUAAAGCAAUUCUUUCAUCACUGCAAAGAAUCUCUCAAGAUAUUGAACGUAACAAGCUGUAGUGGUCCUGUGCUGAGAGGAGACACAAUCUUGCUGCAAGCAAGCAUUUUUUGUAAACGGCUUGACUCUGUGGAUAUAAGCUGGACGGGAGCUACUGGUUUAGGAAUCAUUUCCCUGUCAGAAGCUUCCUUAAGGGCCUUUCUGCUAAUGGAUGCCAGAUUACAGAUGCUGCUAUAAAUGUCUUGGUUGAAAAGC